Molecule: long non-coding RNA, 499 nt
Filed under: Mus musculus (house mouse)
Lineage: Eukaryota; Metazoa; Chordata; Mammalia; Rodentia; Muridae
Description: predicted gene, 57176
Source: RNAcentral
AGUUAGGAAGCUGGCUUUUGGUGGUGGUGGGUGUUGAGUGUGUUUCUUCUCUGCUAACUUGAGCCAUGGGCAGGAGGCUUUCUACUGUGGGGUGAAGGGCUAAUUGGAAACGUGGUCAGCGGCAUGUCCCCAUAAUCGCUGUAGGUGAGCAGUCAGAAAAGGGAUGUGUCCUGAGAUUUAUGUCAGUUAUACUAUUGCAUUGUAGUUUGCAAGCUCCCCAAAAUGGUGGGCCUUUGCUUUUAAGACAGGCAAGGAUCCAAGACGUUAGGUUGAACAAUAACAAACCCACCUUCUUCAGGGUUUGGGGAUUCCUGUGUGUCUUCCAAGAAAGGCAAGUGUUGGAUCAGUGACAUGGCUUAGCAGGUAAAGAUGCUUGCACUCACUAACCUGAGUUUGAGCCCUUGGAGAUCCACAUGCUGGAAGGAAUGAAAAGACCCCCACAAGUUGUUCUUUGAUUUUGCGCACAUCCUCCCCCUCAUAAGAAAAUAUAAAACAAAAA